This 497-nucleotide ribosomal RNA is filed under the name uncultured bacterium. RNAcentral describes it as "partial 16S ribosomal RNA". It matches the Rfam family "Bacterial small subunit ribosomal RNA", at positions 28 to 507 of the family's 1533-position model. The record is from RNAcentral.
GAUGAACGCUGGCGGCGUGCCUAAUACAUGCAAGUCGAGCGAACGGACGAGAAGCUUGCUUCUCUGAUGUUAGCGGCGGACGGGUGAGUAACACGUGGAUAACCUACCUAUAAGACUGGGAUAACUUCGGGAAACCGGAGCUAAUACCGGAUAAUAUUUUGAACCGCAUGGUUCAAAAGUGAAAGACGGUCUUGUUGUCACUUAUAGAUGGAUCCGCGCUGCAUUAGCUAGUUGGUAAGGUAACGGCUUACCAAGGCAACGAUGCAUAGCCGACCUGAGAGGGUGAUCGGCCACACUGGAACUGAGACACGGUCCAGCCUCCUACGGGAGGCAGCAGUAGGGAAUCUUCCGCAAUGGGCGAAAGCCUGACGGAGCAACGCCGCGUGAGUGAUGAAGGUCUUCGGAUCGUAAAACUCUGUUAUUAGGGAAGAACAUAUGUGUAAGUAACUGUGCACAUCUUGACGGUACCUAAUCAGAAAGCCACGGCUAACUACGUG